Non-coding RNA from Dipodomys ordii (Ord's kangaroo rat), 937 nucleotides. The record is from the annotation of a RefSeq genome assembly. NCBI's taxonomy places the organism in Eukaryota, Metazoa, Chordata, Mammalia, Rodentia, Heteromyidae.
UCCACAUUUUAAUUUCUCAAGAUGAGGUACCCUGCUCAGCUCCUGGGGCUACUGAUGCUCUGGAUCCCUGGAUCUAGUGGAGAUGUUGUGAUGACGCAGAGUCCUCUCACUCUCUCUAUCAAACCUGAAGAGCCAGCCUCCAUCUCCUGCAAGUCCAGUGAGAGCCUCCUGCAUAACGAUGGAAACACAUACUUGAAUUGGUACCUGCAGAAGCCAGGCCAGUCUCCACAACUCCUGAUCUAUACGGUUUCCAACCAAGUUACUGGAGUCUCAGACAGGUUUAGUGGCAGUGGGUCAGGCACAGAUUUCACACUGAAAAUCAGCAAGGUGAAGCCUGAGGAUGCAGGGGUUUAUUACUGCGGGCAAGGCACAAAACUCCUAUUCACUUUCGGCCAAGGGACCCAAUUGGAAAUCAAACGGGCUGACGCUAAGCCAACUGUCUCCGUCUUCCCACCAUCUCAAGAGCAGUUGAAUACUGGGAGUGCCUCCGUAGUGUGCUUUGUAGAUUCGUUCUACCCCAGUGAUAUUAACGUGAAGUGGAAAGUUGAUGGUACUUCCAAGACAGACGGCAUCCUGGAAAGUAAGACGGAGCAGGACAGCAAGGACCUCACCUACAGCCUCAGCAGCACCCUAACAAUGACCAGUACAGAGUACGAAAGCCAUAAUCUCUUUGUCUGUGAGGUCACCCAUAAGACUCUGACCUCCCCCAUUGUCAAGAGUGUUAAAAAGAAUGAGUGUUAGAGCUAGAGGCCUACCAGGCACCCACACCUGCUCCUCAGGUCAAGCCUCGCUUUUCUAUAGGCCUUUUCCCACAGGGGAUAGGCCCUGUUGCUAUCCUCCAACUCCUCUCCCCACCUCAUCUCCCCUCCUCCUCCUUAGCUUGAAUCAUGAUGAUAUUGGGGGGGAAACGAUGAAUAAAGUGAAUCUUUGCACUUGA